AGCUCGUGUCGUGAGAUGUUGGGUUAAGUCCCGCAACGAGCGCAACCCUUGUCCUUAGUUACCAGCACGUUAUGGUGGGAACUCUAAGGAGACUGCCGGUGACAAACCGGAGGAAGGUGGGGAUGACGUCAAGUCAUCAUGGCCCUUACGGCCAGGGCUACACACGUGCUACAAUGGUCGGUACAAAGGGUUGCCAAGCCGCGAGGUGGAGCUAAUCCCAUAAAACCGAUCGUAGUCCGGAUCGCAGUCUGCAACUCGACUGCGUGAAGUCGGAAUCGCUAGUAAUCGUGAAUCAGAAUGUCACGGUGAAUACGUUCCCGGGCCUU
RNAcentral lists this ribosomal RNA (326 nucleotides) under uncultured Pseudomonas sp. RNAcentral's name for it is "bacterial SSU rRNA". It matches the Rfam family "Bacterial small subunit ribosomal RNA", at positions 1057 to 1382 of the family's 1533-position model. Lineage: Bacteria; Pseudomonadati; Pseudomonadota; Gammaproteobacteria; Pseudomonadales; Pseudomonadaceae. The record is from RNAcentral.